RNAcentral lists this ribosomal RNA (463 nucleotides) under uncultured bacterium. Its description in RNAcentral is "SSU rRNA". It matches the Rfam family "Bacterial small subunit ribosomal RNA", at positions 26 to 518 of the family's 1533-position model. The record is from RNAcentral.
AGGACGAACGCUGGCGGCGCGCCUAAGUACAUGCAAGUCGAACGGCCACGCUUCGGUGUGGCAGUGGCGGACGGGUGAGUAACACGUGGGUGACCUGCCUUCUAGUGGGGAAUAACCCUGGGAAACCAGGGCUAAUACCGCAUACGCUUGGUGCUUCAUUGCGCCAAGUAAAGAUUAAUCGCUAGAAGAGGGGCCUGCGGCGGAUUAGCUAGUCGGUGGGGUAACGGCUUACCGAGGCAACGAUCCGUAGCUGGUCUGAGAGGACGACCAGCCACACUGGGACUGAGACACGGCCCAGACUCCUACGGGAGGCAGCAGUAAGGAUAUUCCACAAUGGGCGCAAGCCUGAUGGAGCGACGCCGCGUGAGCGAAGAAGCCCUUCGGGGUGUAAAGCUCUUUCCCAGAGAUGAGAAUGGACAGUAUCUGGGGAAUAAGCCUCGGCUAACUACGUGCCAGCAGCCGC